GAACUGCGGCGGGCUGAGGCACAGCCACUUGCCCCAGACCAGUCAGCAGAGAGGAGGAGAACGCGGGGCGCACAUACCUGCCAAGCCUUCUCUGUCCUCAGGCUAUGCCAUGUGCCGCAGGAAGAAAAGCUAAGAAUCUAUGGCGCUGGAACACACGUUAAAACAUUUGACUGAAGCCGCCUUUGGAUACGACAGACACACUGUCAUCCCAAGGAAUUCAUUUGUCCACAUCCUUUCAUCCUACCCUGCAUCCCACAAGAAAAAAAGCAAGGUUGUCUGCUCUUGUCACUUCGCUAAGAAUGCAGAAAUGCACGAUUUAUUUCCUGCUCUACAGGUGCUCUAAAGAGUAGACCACCUAGGAGUAGACGGGUGAGUGGGCGCCGUGGAGACGAGAGGUGGGAUCGCUGUCCUUCAAAUUGAAAGGUUGUCAGGUGAAGAGGGGAGUAGACUAAUCCACGGGGCUGUAAGGACGGACUCGUGUCUUGGAAUCGAAAUGACAAAGGGAGAACGGCAUCAAGUGUGUGUUUGGAAAACAUUUAAAAUUGUUAAAGGAGUGGCUUCCCUUUCAUCUCUCCCGGAUCUGUGACACCCACCGAGGACAGCAACCACAGAGGAGAGAGGACACAGGGAGCACCGGCGCUGACCCAAGGCCUGGGCGGAGGACGGGGUGCGAUCCAGACCUGUGGGAACUUCCCGUGUCCGUCCGCUCCGAAGGCCUCAUCCUGUCCCUCCCAGGAAGUACUUGUUGAAUACACGUUUGUUUGACAAGGGUUGCUCUUGCGGGCUCCUUUGGCCUUGGGCAGUAGAUGUGAUGGAGAACGCUGCUCUCCUCCAAGCUCCCCACAUUUGGUCAGGCAGAUGGAAAAGCCCAACCAGCGCGAUUAAGGCAAGGGUUCAAAUUCAGAUCAGCUUUACGGAGUAUUAAUCUGCAACCUGAAUCACCAAAAAGGUUUAUGGCUGUACCAGCUCGUGGCACGGUAAGUAUUUCAUACUGUCCAGGAAAAACUCCCGUCUAACCCAGUGCUGUGUCCCGGGAGGCACUGCAGUACGUCUGGUGCUCGGGAAUUCCAUGUCGAGGGCCGUGCACACUCCUUCUAAUCAAGGCUGUGGACACGCCUGUGCAACAGCACAACAGCUCUUUAGUCCCGUAAAUGUUUACUCUCCUUACUCCCAAAUUUAGCUCUAUUUUGUUCAUGCUGAGGGGCGGUCCGGGGAUGCAACUGAACUGUAACUUUUUGGUCUUAAAAUAUUUAUCAUGUGGCUGCCCACCUGACGGCAAGCAGACAGUCCCAUAAAUAAUUUCUUUAAGCAGAGUUUGAAAGAUAAAGCCAUGAGUAUACUUAUCGCAGUCUCUAGUGGGGUAGCCUAGAACAUUCUUGACUACAGCAAGAAGAAUCCCAACACGGACACGUAAACGCGCAUGGGCCCCCCCGGAGUCCCUCCGGCUGAGCCAGGUGACCUGGGGUUGUCCUGAGCCCCCCGGGGUGCUGUGUCAGGAGUAAUGCUGAGCACUCACUCAUCAGCCUUGUAAUCUGCAGCAGACACUCUAAAAGACCAAAUUCCCCCAAAUUAUCCUUAAACCUUUCACAGUAUACCAUGGAGUUAAUAAAUCAUCUUAUGAAAUUUAACAUUUUUGUCUCGUCCUUUCUGCUAGCGAAUGGCCGAAGCAAACAUACGACAUCACUUCUGGGUGAACGUGGGUGGGGUCUCCCACGCAACAGGGCCUGGAGGGUUUGCAGCUGGCUUAUGGGGCCCCUGUACCCCUCCUCCACAUGCAAAUGUCUCUUAACUUCCCCACAAAUGAGAGCGAAUGAUAAACGUGAAAGGUGAUGUUUUAAAAACUCUGUAUUCAAUUAUUCACACCAAAGGAUAUCCAUUAAAAUUAUGAACAUCUCUAAAUAUAUUUCAUGUAUCAUACAUAUAUAUACUUUAUAUGUAUAAUUACAUAUCGACAAAAGAUUUCUUGCUGCUCCUAAGCAUGUAAGUAAAACAAAGGUAGAAUUUGCAAUGUAACACCCAUAUAUGCAUAUAUAUUGGCUGUUUGAAUUAUGAAUUUAUUUACAACUUGCCUUAGGUUAUAAUAAAUGAUUACUGUUCUGUGAUACAAACAUAAUGGUAAGGGUUUCUUUUAAAUACAAAGACUGUAAA
Long non-coding RNA from Rhinolophus ferrumequinum (greater horseshoe bat), 2148 nucleotides. RefSeq lists it as uncharacterized. The record is from RefSeq and is a predicted model, not a curated record. Lineage: Eukaryota; Metazoa; Chordata; Mammalia; Chiroptera; Rhinolophidae. The transcript has 3 exons.